AUUGAACGCUGGCGGCAUGCUUUACGCAUGCAAGUCGAACGGCAGCGGGGUAGUGCUUGCACUACUGCCGGCGAGUGGCGAACGGGUGAGUAAUAUAUCGGAACGUACCGAGUAAUGGGGGAUAACCAAUCGAAAGAUUAGCUAAUACCGCAUACGUCCUGAGGGAGAAAGCGGGGGAUCGCAAGACCUCGCGUUAUUCGAGCGGCCGAUAACUGAUUAGCUAGUUGGUGGGGUAAAGGCCUACCAAGGCGACGAUCAGUAGCGGGUCUGAGAGGACGAUUCGCCACACUGGGACUGAGGAACGGCCCCGACUCCUGCGGGGGGCAACCGGGGGGAAUUUUGGACAAUGGGGGCAACCCUGAUCCAGCCAUGCCGCGUGUAUGAAGAAGGCCUUCGGGUUGUAAAGUACUUUUGUUAGGGAAGAAAAGGGAAGUGCUAAUACCACUUUUUGCUGACGGUACCUAAAGAAUAAGCACCGGCUAACUACGUG
Molecule: ribosomal RNA, 490 nt
Filed under: uncultured bacterium
Lineage: Bacteria
Description: partial 16S ribosomal RNA
Rfam family: Bacterial small subunit ribosomal RNA
Source: RNAcentral